This is a non-coding RNA of Cucurbita pepo subsp. pepo (vegetable marrow), 2680 nucleotides long. NCBI's taxonomy places the organism in Eukaryota, Viridiplantae, Streptophyta, Magnoliopsida, Cucurbitales, Cucurbitaceae. The record is from RefSeq and is a predicted model, not a curated record.
AAUACUAUCUCCAUUGGUAUGAGGCCUUUUGGGGAGUCCAAAGCAAAGCUCGAGAGCUUUGACAAUAUCAAAUCCAUUAUUCUUAGUACUCAAGUGUUUGAACUUGUACAAUGUCAAUUUGAAGGAUUCAAAUUCAACAGGGUGAGGUUAUUUCCAACUGAUAUUGAUGAUUUUGUGCAAAAUACCAUGAAUUAUGUUAAUUUAGUAAGCCAUAUUGUGAAGUGCGUGGUAAGAAUUUAUAUUAAUUUUCCAUGUGAGGAGAGUGCUGCUAGCCCACAUUUCUAAUUCCUUGGUGUCCGUAAGAACUAUAUUAGAACCCAAAAGUAAAUCCUAUCCAUUUCCUUCUUGGAAGAUUUAACUUCGCUUCUCACCAGAUGUUCUGAAGCCUGAAUGUGUAGUUCGCCCUUCUUGAAUGAAUUAGGGAAGCUCCAUUUUUUUAGGGGAAGAAUCUCCUCUUUGACUCUUACAUAUGUUCUUAUGAGACAUCCACAAAAAGAAGUAAUGUCUUUGGUUGACAUUUAUUUGGGCCUUCUUUUGGAAGUUCUGGGAAGAAAGCAAUCAGCAAAUCUGUAGGGACAAGGAAUUUACUUCUGAUUGAUUUCUUGAUGCUAUGGUAUUUCUUAUGGCUUCUUGGUGUCAGUGCUCACUCAUUUUUCUUCACUAUAGCUUUUCCUCUUUACUAUCCAAUUAGAGAGGUUUUUCGUAACUCCCUUGGAUCAGGGUUAUUCUCUUCUUUUGUAAUUUCAUAUUAUCAAUGAAUUUAAAGGAAUUUUUGGAUAAGGCUUGACGUGCCACCCUUCAAGAAUGGAAAAGCUCUAUUAUAAAAAAACCUCAUUAAGGCUUUCUUUCGGAAUCUGUGGAAAGAAAGAAAUUUAGAGAAUAUUUAUAGAAAAGACACAGAGCUACACAAAACUGUUCGACAAUAUUGUUUACCAAGCUAUAUCUUGGUGUAAACUGUCUAAUAUUUUUACUUCCUAUAGUUAUACCUCCCUCGUUGCAAAUUGAGAAAGUCUUUUGUAAAUACUAUGGAUUAUACAUCCUUUUUAUAAAUUUCAAUCAUCAAUGAAAUUGUCUCUUAAAAGAGUCCUCAAUUUGUAAGCUCUCUCUUGUAACUAUACUCAGCCCCUUGCCUGUCCCCAAGCAAAUUACGUGGAUGUAAUGAUGGAUUUGACAGAGGGUCUCCCAAAAUCGUAUGGAUAUGUUGAGGACAAGGUGACUAAAUACAGACAUAUUCUCCCGGUGUUACUCUGUUUGCCAAAGAAAUUGUGCGCUGCCAUUGGUUUCCCAGACCCAUUGUUUCCAACAGGGAAAAGGAGUUUGUCAGCUACUUUUUAAUUGAAUAAUUCCGUUUACAAGACACUCAACUGCAGUAAAGUAUGACGUCCACCCACAGAUAGAUGGGCAACCUAAAAUUAUGAACAAAUGUCUUGAAGCCUAUCUGCAUUGCUUCUGCUAUGAGAAACCAGAGCAGUGGAGUUUUAGGCUACCACGUGCUGAAUUUUGGUACGAUACAAUCCCAUUGUAGGCAGUUCAUGGCUGUUCACCAUUUCUUUGGUUUUUAUGGUGGAUGAGACUACAGAUGACAAAGUUAAGUCGCACUUAAAGAUGUUCAUUUAAUUCGUGGGAAAUCCUCAUUUAGAUGGGGAGAGAGCGGGAAGAUAAUCUUCUCUAUUAGCUAAAUGGGGUUAGGGCGGGGAUUAUUCCCAUCCCCCGCCUACCUUGCUUCUUAUUUAUAUAUAUAUACAUACAUACAUACAAGUUCCCUGCGAAAAUAAAUGGGGAAGUUUGUGUGGAAGGAAAUUGAAAUAGGAGACAGGGAUGAAGAAGACUUCCUUGUUCCCGACCCACCUUAUGGACACAAUACGUUCUCUGUUCUUAAGCUCCAUUCGACGAUAGAACAAGAGUGAAUGAAAACAUUUGUUGAUUUGCUUCACCAUGAAGUGAACUACGAAGUGGAAGUCUUAGUAUUUCUAGAAAUCUGCCCUAUUGCUAGCGUUCUUUAGCCACCAAAUGCAAUGAAAGGCUUAAUCCAACUUCCUAAGCCCCUUUAAUCUACUGCGAAGGGUUGAGGGUGUUGCUUAUAAGUUGGACAUUCCUCCACUUGAUCACGUCAUGUUUGUAGCUCAAACGUUCCCUUGGGGCUGGGGUCAGUGCUCAGGCUUCCCCUCUUCGCAAAGUCGAGUGGUCGUUAAACCACCCAAGGUCUUUUGUGUGUGGAGGAACACCGAGACUGCUGGUUUGGAGAUUCUGUUUCGCUAGAAGGCUCUUGAAUUUAAAGGCAUGUCGAAUUGAUAUCAACUGCAAGCAAUUCCCAGAUACCUUAGGGACAAGGUGUCUUUUGGUCUGGAGCAAAGGUUAAACCCCUAAUUACCAACGUUUACACAAGGAGUAAUAAGGGAAGGGCAAAAUGAGCCAGCCUUCUCGAAUGGGCUAUGUGCAAUUUUGUAUUGUGCGUUCAGCUCUAAUCUUCUGUAGGAAUGUGCAAUUUUGUAUUGUGUAUUCAGUCCUUAGUUUCUAUAUUUUAGUGUAAUUUUUUUACCUCUGUCUGGAACAUUGAAUUCCAUGUGGUCAACUUUAGUUUACUGCCAGUACGCUCUAUUGCUUGACAAAUUGUAAGAAACCCUUGUUUGUGCUCUUGCCUCCUACUUUCAUAUAUGUGAAAUAUGUGAAUGAUUUAGUA